Molecule: ribosomal RNA, 495 nt
Filed under: uncultured bacterium
Lineage: Bacteria
Description: partial 16S ribosomal RNA
Rfam family: Bacterial small subunit ribosomal RNA
Source: RNAcentral
GACGAACGCUGGCGGCGUGCCUAAUACAUGCAAGUAGAACGCUGAAGGAGGAGCUUGCUUCUCCGGAUGAGUUGCGAACGGGUGAGUAACGCGUAGGUAACCUGCCUGGUAGCGGGGGAUAACUAUUGGAAACGAUAGCUAAUACCGCAUAACAGUAGAUGUUGCAUGACAUUUGCUUAAAAGGUGCAAUUGCAUCACUACCAGAUGGACCUGCGUUGUAUUAGCUAGUUGGUGAGGUAACGGCUCACCAAGGCGACGAUACAUAGCCGACCUGAGAGGGUGAUCGGCCACACUGGGACUGAGACACGGCCCAGACUCCUACGGGAGGCAGCAGUAGGGAAUCUUCGGCAAUGGACGGAAGUCUGACCGAGCAACGCCGCGUGAGUGGAGAAGGUUUUCGGAUCGUAAAGCUCUGUUGUAAGAGAAGAACGAGUGUGAGAGUGGAAAGUUCACACUGUGACGGUAUCUUACCAGAAAGGGACGGCUAACUACGUG